This 440-nucleotide ribosomal RNA is filed under the name uncultured bacterium. RNAcentral describes it as "partial 16S ribosomal RNA". It matches the Rfam family "Bacterial small subunit ribosomal RNA", at positions 338 to 795 of the family's 1533-position model. The record is from RNAcentral.
CCUACGGGUGGCAGCAGUGGGGAAUAUUGCACAAUGGGGGAAACCCUGAUGCAGCGACGCCGCGUGAGCGAUGAAGGACUUCGGUAUGUAAAGCGCUAUCAGCAGGGAAGAAAAUGACGGUACCUGACGAAGAAGCACCGGCUAACUACGUGCCAGCAGCCGCGGUAAUACGUAGGGGGCGAGCGUUAUCCGGAUUUACUGGGUGUAAAGGGAGCGUAGAGGGCUGUGCAAGACAGAUGUGAAAGCCCGGGGCUCAACCCAGGGACUGUAUUGGGAACUGUGCUGCUAGAGUGUCGGAGAGGUAGGCGGAAUUCCUAGUGUAGCGGUGAAAUGCGUAGAUAUUAGGAGGAACACCAGUGGCGAAGGCGGCCUGCUGGAAGAUGACUGACGUUGAGGCUCGAAAGCGUGGGGAGCAAACAGGAUUAGAUACCCCUGUAGUC